This 492-nucleotide ribosomal RNA is filed under the name uncultured bacterium. RNAcentral describes it as "partial 16S ribosomal RNA". It matches the Rfam family "Bacterial small subunit ribosomal RNA", at positions 29 to 507 of the family's 1533-position model. The record is from RNAcentral.
AGUGAACGCUGGCGGUGGGCCUAAUACAUGCAAGUCGAACGGCAGCACAGUAAGAGCUUUCUCUUACGGUUAGCGAGUGGCGGACGGGUGAGGCAUACAUCAGAAUCUACUUUUUCGUGGGGGACAACGUAGGGAAACUGACGCUAAUAGCGAAUACGACCUACGGGUUAAAUCAGAAGAUAUUCACACCUUUGCCGUCUCUAUGAGACGGUGUCGGAUUAGCUAGUUGGCGUGGUAAAGGCCCACCAAGGCAACGAUCCGUAGCUGGCCUGAGAGGAUGAUCGGCCACACUGGAACUGAGACACGGUCCAGACUCCUACGGGAGGCAGCAGUGGGGAAUAUUGGACAAUGGGCGAAAGCCUGACGCAGCAAUGCCGCGUGGGUGAAGAAGGUCUUCGGAUUGUAAAGCCCUUUUAUUAGGAAAGAAAAGCUGUGUAUGAAACUGUGGACGUCUUGACGGUACCUAAUGAGUAAGCAACGGCUAACUACGUG